This 71-nucleotide transfer RNA is filed under the name Cordylochernes scorpioides. RNAcentral's name for it is "tRNA-Gly". The record is from RNAcentral. Lineage: Eukaryota; Metazoa; Arthropoda; Arachnida; Pseudoscorpiones; Chernetidae.
UGCAUCGGCCGGGAAUCGAACCCGGGCCGCCCACGUGGCAGGCGAGCAUUCUAUCACUGAACCACCGAUGC